Molecule: long non-coding RNA, 6069 nt
Organism: Salmo trutta (river trout)
Lineage: Eukaryota; Metazoa; Chordata; Actinopteri; Salmoniformes; Salmonidae
Product: Down syndrome cell adhesion molecule homolog
Source: Ensembl
AUGUGGAAAAUAUUGUCAUGCCAUCUAAUUUUUUUGUUCUCUUUGUUCUCCUCUCUUACAGUUUUUAGUGAAGAUCUACGUUCCAGCUUAUAUUUUGUCAAUGCAUCUUUGCAAGAGGUAGUGUUUGCCAGCACCACAGGGACCCUGGUGCCCUGUCCCGCUGCAGGGGUGCCCCCCGCCUCGCUGCGCUGGUACCUGGCCACUGAAGAGGAGAUCUACGAUGUGCCCGGGAUCCGCCACGUGCACCCCAAUGGCACUCUCCAGAUCUUUAACUUCCUCCCCUCCAGCUUUAGUAAGCUUAUCCAUGACAAUACCUACUAUUGCACAGCUGAAAAUCCUUCAGGGAAAAUAAGAAGUCAAGAUGUCCACAUUAAGGCCGUAUUUCGGGAACCCUACACGGUUCGGGUGGAGGACCAGAAAGCCAUGAGAGGCAAUGUAGCGGUCUUCAAGUGCAUUAUCCCAGCCUCCGUGGAGGCUUACGUCACUGUCGUAUCGUGGGAGAAAGACACAGUCUCACUAUCCUCAGGACCUAGAGUUCUCAUCACAACCACAGGAGCCUUGUAUAUUCUGGAUGUCCAGAAUGAGGAUGGACUGUAUAACUACCGCUGUACCACACGGCAUCGCUACACUGGCGAGACCAGGCAAAGCAACAGCGCCCGGCUUUUUGUGUCAGAUCCCACUAACUCAGAGCCGGGGAUUCUGGAUGGCUUUGACCGUCGGGAGGUCAUGGCGUCCCAUCGGGUAGAGCUGCCCUGUAAGGCGUCGGGCCAUCCCAUGCCCAAGUACCGCUGGCUGAAGGACAACAGCCCCCUGGAGCCCGACACACGUUUCCGCCAGAGUGUCACGGGCUUGCUGAUAGAGAGCGCCCAGCCCACCGACUCUGGCACCUACGUGUGUGAGGUGUGGAACAGCUAUGGCAACGCUGAGGUGGUGGGCCGGCUGCUGGUCAAACAGCCCCUGAAGGCGGUGGUCAGCCCACGAAAGGUGAAGGGCAGCGUGGGUAGUAAGGUGUCCUUGCAUUGCAGUGUCAGUGGCUCUGAUGAGUACGAGCUGUCCUGGUACCGUAACGGAGAGAUCAUCUACCCCGGCAACAACGUGCGGAUCACAGGCAUCAGCAGGGAGAACCUGAUCAUGGAGGGCAUGGCCAAGAGCGACGGAGGGGCCUACCAAUGUUUCGCCAGGAAGAACAAAAUGUCCGCUCAGGAUUUUGUUCCGGUCAUCUUGGAGGACGGCACUCCAAAGAUUCUGUUCUCCUUCAGUGAGAAGGUGGUCAACCCCAACGAACCGGUCUUCCUGGUGUGUAACGUCAAAGGCACUCCCCCUCCCUCCUGCACCUGGAACCUGGACGACGACCCGGUCAUCAAGGACAACCACCACCACCCUGGCCACUACGAGACCAAUGAGGGCCACGUGGUCAGCCAGCUGAACAUCACUCACACCAAGGAGGUGGACGGAGGGGUGUAUCGCUGCACCUGCAGGAACUCGGCCGGGGCGGUCUACCACCAGGCUCGAAUAAACGUAAGAGGGGCUGCCAGCAUCCGUCCAAUGAAAAACAUCACGGCCAUCGCAGGGCGGGACGCGUACGUCCACUGUCGCGUUAUUGGCUACCCGUAUUAUUCCAUCAAGUGGUAUAAGAACUCCCACCUGCUCCCCUUCAACCACAGGCAGCGGGCCUUCGAGAACAACGGCACUCUGAAGCUGUCUAACGUGCAGGAGCUGGACCAGGGAGAGUACAAUUGCAGGGUAUUGGUCAAACCUCACCAAGAGACCAAUCAGAGCGUCCAUCUCAGUGUCAAAGUUCCACCGUACAUCCAGCCCUUUGCAUUCCAGCGGUUCUCCAUUGGCCAGCGUGUCUUCAUCCCCUGCGUGGUAAUGUCAGGUGACCAGCCCCUGGACAUCACAUGGCAGAAGGACGGGCGGCCAAUCCCUGCCAGUCUGGGGGUCACCAUCGACAACAUAGAGUUCACCAGCUCACUGCGGAUCUCCAACCUGUCCCCAGACCACAACGGAAACUACACCUGCAUUGCACGCAACGAGGCUGCAGCCGUUGAGCACCAGAGUCAGCUCAUUGUCCGGGUUCCUCCCCAGUUUGUGGUGCAGCCCACAGACCAGGAUGGGAUCUAUGGCAAAACUGUGACCCUCAACUGCUCUGCUGAGGGUUAUCCACGCCCCACCCUCGUAUGGAAGCACUCCAAAGGUAACGGGGUUCCCCAGUUCCAGCCCAUCGCCCUGAACUCUGGCUCCCGUAUCCAGCUGCUGGUCAACGGCUCUCUGCUCAUCAAACACGUGCUGGAGGAGGACAGCGGCUACUACCUGUGUAAGGUCAGCAACGAUGUGGGAGCUGACGUCAGCAAGUCCAUGUACCUCACCGUCAAAAUCCCGGCCAUGAUCACGUCGUACCCCAACACCACCAUGGCCACGGUGGGCCAGCAGAAGGAGAUGAGCUGCACGGCCCACGGGGAAAAGCCCAUCAUGGUGCGCUGGGAGAAGGAGGAACGCAUCAUCAACCCAGAGACCAGCCGCUACACCGUCGUGGUCAAAGAGGUGGCUGACGAGGUCAUCUCCACUCUGAAGAUUUUGCCCACUGUUCGGGAAGAUUCUGGAUUCUUCUCCUGCCAUGCAAUCAACUCCUAUGGUGAAGACAGAGGGAUCAUUCAGUUAACAGUGCAAGAACCUCCAGACCCUCCCGAGGUGGAGAUCCGAGAGGUCAGAGACCGGACAAUCGCCCUCCGCUGGACCAUGGGCUUCGACGGAAACAGCCCUAUCACAGGAUAUGACAUUGAGUGCAAGAACAAAUCAGCCUCGUGGAAUUCAGCCCAGAUAACAAAAGACGUGUCCCCCCAGCUGAACCAGGCCACCAUUAUAGACCUGCACCCCUCCUCCACCUACAACAUCCGCAUUUUCGCCAAGAACGACAUCGGCAAGAGCGACACCAGCAACGAGCUCACUAUCACCACUGACGAAGCAGCCCCCGAUGGCCCUCCACAGGAAGUACAACUGGAGGCCACCUCUCCACAAAGCAUCAAAGUCACCUGGAAGGCCCCCCACAAGCACCUUCAGAACGGGGUGAUCCGGGGCUACCAGGUGGGUUACAGAGAGUACAGCUCUGGAGGCAGCUUCCAGUUUAACAUCAUCAGCAUGGACACCACAGGGGACAGCAGCGAGAGCAUCACCCUGGACAACCUGAGGAAGUUCACUGAGUACGGGGUGGUGGUGCAGGCGGCUAACCGUGCUGGCACCGGGCCCUCCUCUCAGGAGGUCAUCACCAAAACACUGGAGGAUGUCCCCUCGCGUCCCCCUGAGAAUGUCCUGGCCAUGGCCAAGUCUCCAGAAGUCAUCUCUCUGUCCUGGUUGACCCUGCCCAAAGAGGCCCUGAAUGGAAACCUGCAGGGCUACCGAGUCAUCUACUGGGCCAACCUGGCAGAUGGAGAGUUGGGAGAGAUCAGGAACGUGACCACCUCCUACCCAUCUCUGGAACUGGAUGGUCUGGAGAAAUACACCAACUACAGCAUCCAGGUUCUGGCCUUCACCCGGGCAGGGGACGGGGUGCGCAGCGAGCAGAUCUUCACCCGGACCAAGGAAGACAUCCCUGGGCCUCCAGCGGGGGUUAAGGCCGCAGCCUCCACCAGCUCCGUGGUGUUUGUGUCCUGGCUCCCUCCUCUCAAACUCAACGGCAUUAUCAGGAAGUACAUUGUCUUCUGCUCCAACCACCCCACGGUGAUGAGUGAGUUUGAGGCUUCUCCUGAUGUGUAUUUCUACAGAGUGCCAAACCUGGCCCGCAACAGGAAGUACAGCAUCUGGGUGGUUGCCGUGACAGCCGCUGGGCGAGGCAACAGCAGUGAGACCAUCACAGUGGAACCUCGGGCCAAAGCUCCGGCCAGGAUCCUGACGUUCAACGGAACAGUGACUACACCCUGGAUGAGGGACAUCGUCCUGCCCUGCAAGGCGGUCGGAGAUCCACCCCCCACCAUCAAGUGGCUGAAGGGAAACAAUGGUACCCCUGCUCCUGUUCUGAUUGACGGACGCCACAGUGUCCAUAGCAACGCUAGUUUCAUCAUCCGGACGGUGAAAGCAGAGGACUCUGGGAACUACAGCUGUGUGGCCAGCAACAACUGGGGCUCUGAUGAAAUCACGCUGAACCUACAGGUUCAAGUUCCUCCAGACCAACCACGCCUCACAGUUACCAAGACAACUACCACGUCAAUCACUCUGUCCUGGAUACCUGGGGACAACGGAGGAAGCUCCAUCAGAGGCUACAUCCUGCAGUACUCAGAGGACAACAGUGAGCAGUGGGGCAGCUUUCCCAUCAGCCCUAGCGAGCGCUCGUACCGUCUGGAGAACCUGAAGUGUGGCACCUGGUACAAGUUCACCCUGACUGCUCAGAACGGAGUGGGCCCCGGACGCAUCAGUGAGAUCAUUGAAGCGAAGACCCACGGAAAAGAGCCCCAGUUUGCCAAAGAACAUGAGCUGUUUGCCAGCAUCAACUCCACCCGGGUCAGGCUCAAUCUAAUUGGGUGGAACAAUGGUGGCUGCCCAAUCACCUCGUUCACCCUGGAGUACCAUCCGAUGGACACGGCAACGUGGACCACGGCUCAGCGCACCUCGCUAACCAAGAGCUACAUCCUGUAUGACCUGGCGGAGGCCACCUGGUACGAACUGCAGAUGAAAGUGGUCAACAGCGCCGGCUCCGCCGAGAAGAAGAUCAUGUUCGCCACGCUCAACGCCGAUGGAAGUGAGUUCAACAACAUGUCAGGCAACGAGGGGCUGAAGAUGAUGGUGACCAUCACCUGUAUCCUGGUGGCUGCUGUCAUGGUCUUCAUCCUCCUGAUGGUACUGAAGAGGAGGAGGAGGGAGCAGAGGCUCAAGAGGCUACGCGGUAAGUCAGAACACACACACAAUAAAAACACACGGACACCAGACACAUCCAACAAGCAGCAGACCAUGAGAAUGCACAUCGAUAUCCCCCGAGCCCAGCUGCUCAUCGAGGAGAGAGAUACUAUGGAGAUUAUUGACGACAGGUCGACGGUGCUGCUGACUGAUAAUGACUUUGGGGAGACGUCCAAACAGAAGUCGUCCACGGUCACGCACACAGUCCAUUACCAGUCCCUGUCGCAGGCCACCGGCCCACUGGUGGACGUCUCUGACGCCCGGCCUGGAACCAGUAAGAGCCCUGCAGCCAGCAGGAACCGCUAUGCCAGCCAGUGGACUCUGAACCGGCCACAACCACCCACCUCCUCCCACACCCUGAGCACAGACUGGAGACUGCCCACACCGCGCGCCACCGGCUCUGUGGACAAGGAGAGCGACAGCUACAGCGUCAGCCCAUCGCAGGACACAGACCGCGCGCGGAGCAGCAUGGUGUCGACGGAGAGCGCGUCGUCUACGUACGAAGAGCUAGCCCGGGCCUAUGAGCACGCCAAGAUGGAGGAGCACCUGCGGCACGCCAAGUUCACUAUCACAGAGUGCUUCAUCUCCGACACCUCCUCAGAGCAAAUGACGGCCGGCACCAACGAGUACACAGACAGCCUAGCAUCUAGCACGCCUUCUGAGUCAGGCAUCUGCAGGUUCACCGCCUCCCCGCCCAAGCCUCAGGACAUCAGCCGGGUCAUGAACAUGGCCGCACCAAAGGCCCACAGACCGGGUAAGGAGAAGGUAGCACUCAUAUACAGAACAUACACAGACAUACACUGCAAACACACACACACACAUCUAGAUCAGUGUUUUCCAACUCCGGUCCUCCCCCAACAGUACAUAUUGCUCUUGUGGCCCUCGACAAGCACUCCUGAUUCUACUAAUCAUCAAGAGCUUGACAAGUUGAAUCAGGUGUUUUCGUCUGGGGCUACAACAAAAAUGUGUACUGUAGGGGGUACUGGAGGACCGGAGUUGGAAAACACUGCUAUAGAUAGUUCAGUUCUGCUCCAAUUAGGCCUUGGGCCACAGCAUUACAACUGUAACAUCCACAGCUCUCUGGGCCUGUUCAAAGUUAAGUUUCAUAGCUUUCAUUUAACGCAGCAUUUUACAAAAUGCCUAUUGCAAAAUAAUGAUCAUGAGAUACUCUUCCUCAGGUAA